UACGUAGGUGGCAAGCGUUAUCCGGAAUUAUUGGGCGUAAAGAGCGCGCAGGUGGUUAAUUAAGUCUGAUGUGAAAGCCCACGGCUUAACCGUAGUAAGCCUUUGAAACUGGGAAACUUGAGUGCAGGAGAGGAGAGUGGAAUUCCUAGUGUAGCGGUGAAAUGCGUAGAUAUUAGGAGGAACACCAGUUGCGAAGGCGGCUCUCUGGACUGUAACUGACACUGAGGCACGAAAGCGUGGGGAGCAAACAGG
RNAcentral lists this ribosomal RNA (252 nucleotides) under uncultured bacterium. RNAcentral describes it as "partial 16S ribosomal RNA". It matches the Rfam family "Bacterial small subunit ribosomal RNA", at positions 524 to 776 of the family's 1533-position model. The record is from RNAcentral.